This 250-nucleotide ribosomal RNA is filed under the name uncultured bacterium. RNAcentral describes it as "partial 16S ribosomal RNA". It matches the Rfam family "Bacterial small subunit ribosomal RNA", at positions 524 to 773 of the family's 1533-position model. The record is from RNAcentral.
UACGUAGGGUGCAAGCGUUAAUCGGAAUUACUGGGCGUAAAGGGUACGCAGGCGGCUAGGAAAGAAAGAUGUGAAAUCCCAGGGCUCAACCUUGGAACUGCAUUUUUAACUACCUGGCUAGAGUAUGUCAGAGGGGGGUAGAAUUCCACGUGUAGCAGUGAAAUGCGUAGAGAUGUGGAGGAAUACCGAUGGCGAAGGCAGCCCCCUGGGAUAAUACUGACGCUCAGGUACGAAAGCGUGGGGAGCAAAC